UGAAAUUCCUACAUGUGUAAAGCC
Molecule: non-coding RNA, 24 nt
Filed under: Arabidopsis thaliana (thale cress)
Lineage: Eukaryota; Viridiplantae; Streptophyta; Magnoliopsida; Brassicales; Brassicaceae
Source: RNAcentral